AAAGCUUAUGCAACCAACCAAACAAGAUGUAAGGAAAACCAGUAUAAGUAAAGCCAUGCAACCAAACAAACACACAAUGUCUGCAUAGAACAAGGCCAAGUCCAAUCUAGUUCCAAUCCUAGCCAGGGUACGAUUUAACGAGGCAACCAAACACGCCCUUUGUUUAUACUUAGGCUUCAUCUAAAAAACCAAAAACUUUUCAAGAUUCUCUGUCACAUCAAAUCUUGCGGCACAUGCAUGGAGCACUAAAUAUAGAUAAAAAUAAAAAUCAAUUUCACAGUUUACCUGUAAAUCGCGAGAUGAAUCUUUUAAGCCUAGUUACUUUAUAAUUGGACAAUGUUUGUUAAAUAAAAACAAAAUUGCUACAGUUUUGAAAACCAAAAUAGUUUUCUGAACUAAACGAGGCCUUAAAGCCAGGUAUUAGGGUCACUGCAAGAAGAAGCAGCGAUGAGAAAAGACAGCCGAACACGUGUGGAGCAAAAAAAAAAAAUGAUGGACUAAAGCCUGCAUUUGGUUCGCUAUUUGAAU
RNAcentral lists this long non-coding RNA (528 nucleotides) under Sorghum bicolor (sorghum). RNAcentral's name for it is "long non-coding RNA (SBIC_LNC004202)". The record is from RNAcentral. Lineage: Eukaryota; Viridiplantae; Streptophyta; Magnoliopsida; Poales; Poaceae.